CAAUAGCGUAUAUUAAAGUUGUUGCAGUUAAAAAGCUCGUAGUUGGAUUUCUGAUGGGAGCGAUCGGUCUGGCGCUUAGCGCGAGUACUUGCAUCGUCUCCGGCCAUCCUUGGGGAGAGUCUGUCUGGCAUUAAGUUGUCGGGCAGAGGAUCCUCAUCGUUUACUGUGAAAAAAUUAGAGUGUUCAAAGCAGGCUUAUGCCGUUGAAUAUAUUAGCAUGGAAUAAUAAGAUAGGACUUUGGUACUAUUUUGUUGGUUUGCGCACCAAAGUAAUGAUUAAUAGGGACAGUUGGGGGUAUUCGUAUUCCGUUGUCAGAGGUGAAAUUCUUGGAUUUACGGAAGACGAACUACUGCGAAAGCAUUUACCAAGGAUGUUUUCAUUAA
This 383-nucleotide ribosomal RNA is filed under the name uncultured eukaryote. RNAcentral describes it as "partial 18S ribosomal RNA". It matches the Rfam family "Eukaryotic small subunit ribosomal RNA", at positions 592 to 976 of the family's 1831-position model. The record is from RNAcentral.